GGUCCUACGGGGGGCAGCAGUGGGGAAUAUUGGACAAUGGGGGAAACCCUGAUCCAGCGACGCCGCGUGAGUGAAGAAGUAUUUCGGUACGUAAAGCUCUAUCAGCAGGAAAGAAAAUGACGGUACCUGACUAAGAAGCCCCGGCUAACUACGUGCCAGCAGCCGCGGUAAUACGUAUGGAGCAAGCGUUAUCCGGAUUUACUGGGUGUAAAGGGAGCGCAGACGGCAGGGCAAGUCUGAUGUGAAAGUCCGGGGCUCAACCCCGGGACUGCAUUGGAAACUGUCCGGCUAGAGUGCAGGAGAGG
Molecule: ribosomal RNA, 305 nt
Filed under: uncultured bacterium
Lineage: Bacteria
Description: bacterial SSU rRNA
Rfam family: Bacterial small subunit ribosomal RNA
Source: RNAcentral